This 578-nucleotide ribosomal RNA is filed under the name Kitasatospora sp. TDB-172. Its description in RNAcentral is "bacterial SSU rRNA". It matches the Rfam family "Bacterial small subunit ribosomal RNA", at positions 102 to 694 of the family's 1533-position model. Lineage: Bacteria; Bacillati; Actinomycetota; Actinomycetes; Kitasatosporales; Streptomycetaceae. The record is from RNAcentral.
ACGGGUGAGUAACACGUGGGGAAUCUGCCCUGAACUCUGGGACAAGCCUUGGAAACGAGGUCUAAUACCGGAUACGACCUUCUCCUGCAUGGGGGUUGGUGGAAAGCUCCGGCGGUUCAGGAUGAUCCCGCGGCCUAUCAGCUUGUUGGUGGGGUAAUGGCCUACCAAGGCGACGACGGGUAGCCGGCCUGAGAGGGCGACCGGCCACACUGGGACUGAGACACGGCCCAGACUCCUACGGGAGGCAGCAGUGGGGAAUAUUGCACAAUGGGCGAAAGCCUGAUGCAGCGACGCCGCGUGAGGGAUGACGGCCUUCGGGUUGUAAACCUCUUUCAGCAGGGAAGAAGCGCAAGUGACGGUACCUGCAGAAGAAGCACCGGCUAACUACGUGCCAGCAGCCGCGGUAAUACGUAGGGUGCGAGCGUUGUCCGGAAUUAUUGGGCGUAAAGAGCUCGUAGGCGGCCUGUCGCGUCGGAUGUGAAAGCCCGGGGCUUAACCCCGGGUCUGCAUUCGAUACGGGCAGGCUAGAGUGUGGUAGGGGAGAUCGGAAUUCCUGGUGUAGCGGUGAAAUGCGCAGA